CCUACGGGAGGCAGCAGUGAGGAAUAUUGGUCAAUGGACGAGAGUCUGAACCAGCCAAGUAGCGUGAAGGCUGACUGCCCUAUGGGUUGUAAACUUCUUUUAUAUGGGAAUAAAACAGGGCAUGCAUACCCUCUUGUAUGUACCAUAUGAAUAAGGAUCGGCUAACUCCGUUCCAGCAGCCGCGGUAAUACGGAGGAUCCGAGCGUUAUCCGGAUUUAUUGGGUUUAAAGGGAGCGUAGGUGGUUUGUUAAGUCAGUUGUGAAAGUUUGCGGCUCAACCGUAAAAUUGCAGUUGAUACUGGCAGUCGUGAGUACAGUAGAGGUGGGCGGAAUUCGUGGUGUAGCGGUGAAAUGCUUAGAUAUCACGAAGAACUCCGAUUGCGAAGGCAGCUCACUGGACUGCAACUGACACUGAUGCUCGAAAGUGUGGGUAUCAAACAGGAUUAGAUACCCGGGUAGUC
This 460-nucleotide ribosomal RNA is filed under the name uncultured bacterium. RNAcentral's name for it is "partial 16S ribosomal RNA". It matches the Rfam family "Bacterial small subunit ribosomal RNA", at positions 338 to 795 of the family's 1533-position model. The record is from RNAcentral.